GUGGGCGACGUGCCCGCUUCCAAAAUGGCGGCGGCAGCGGUGUCUGGUGCGCUUGGCCGGGCGGGCUGGAGGCUCCUGCAGCUGCGAUGCCUGCCCGUGGCCCGUUGCCGACAAGCCCUGGUGCCACGUGCCUUCCAUGCUUCAGCUGUGGGGCUAAGGUCUUCAGAUGAGCAGAAGCAGCAGCCUCCCAACUCAUUUUCUCAGCAGCAUUCUGAGACACGGGGGGCAGAAAAACCUGAUCCAGAGUCUUCUCAUUCACCCCCCAGGUAUACAGACCAGGGCGGCGAGGAGGAGGAGGACUAUGAAAGCGAGGAGCAGCUGCAGCACCGCAUCCUGACGGCAGCCCUAGAGUUUGUGCCCGCCCACGGGUGGACAGCAGAGGCGAUUGCAGAAGGAGCCCAGUCUCUGGGUCUCUCCAGUGCAGCAGCCAGCAUGUUUGGGAAGGAUGGCAGUGAGCUAAUACUGCAUUUUGUGACCCAGUGCAAUACCCGGCUCACACAUGUGCUAGAAGAGGAGCAGAAGCUGGUACAGUUGGGCCAGGCGGAGAAGAGGAAGACAGACCAGUUCCUGAGGGAUGCAGUGGAAACCAGACUGAGAAUGCUGAUCCCGUACAUUGAGCACUGGCCCCGGGUACUGAGUCCAUAUCCAGGCCCCAGAGCAACAAUAAUCCUAAUAUUUAUCAUUCUCAGCACCUUCACUCAGAUGACUUUGUACACUGUUCAGAACUUAGUUCCUCAAUCUCUAUAAACCCGAGAAUACUUAGUACACUUGGUAGAAGUUUGAAACUGGGUUUCAAACUUGGGUAUACCAAAGAGAGUGACUCUGAGCCAUCUGUGUCUCAGUUCUUGGAAAUGUGAGUGGUCCGGGUACUGGAUCCCAUCCUGGGUGGGGUUCUCCUAGUGGCCUGAGUGUGCUACCAGCUCUGCAGGGAGGAGGAAUCCAUGCAGGAGGUUAGAAGAGUCAAGAUUUUAUUGGCUGUCUUCACUUGAAUAACAGCCCUGUGGUAUUUUAGAUCUCGAGGACUGGGAUUUGUC
This 1034-nucleotide small RNA is filed under the name Pongo abelii (Sumatran orangutan). RNAcentral's name for it is "retained intron". The record is from RNAcentral. Lineage: Eukaryota; Metazoa; Chordata; Mammalia; Primates; Hominidae.